AUACACUAGCUGUAUCAACUAACCUGUCUGUGAGAAGAUACUAAUCUCAAAUAGAUGGUGUAUAUCGCCGCCUACCUCUAUAACGCUGCCACUAUGCCUGUGUGCACAGGCGCAGUGUUGGAUCUGUCCAGAUACACCGGGCAUCCACAACUCGAACCUGACUCUUCAUGUCAUGGUUUCUGCUCCCCUUCGUGCAACAAUUUGUGACCUCUGAAUUUCCCACCAUGGGUGAAGGGGUUUCUUUUUUUUUUUUUUAAUAGGGCUAUCAUGGAUAUAUACUGUACCACACAUCUGAAUCGCCGCGGAAAGAUUAAUUAUAACAGAUCAUUUCAGGCACACAACUAUCUGAAGCAAUUAACUGCAAUGGGAGACGGAAGAGCCAAAAAAUAGAAUAUUUAUCUCUUCUGCAUCUGCUGUCUUUUUUGCCUUCACAAUGUGCAUUUUUUUUAAGACCCCUCUUGAGUUUUUUUUCCUGUUAUCUGCAAGCGAAGCAUAAAAGUAGAGAACGCUGCUACGUCACCAGAGGGUUUGCAUCCUUUAUAAGAGCACCACAUUGCAUGGAAAAAGAGGCUUUGAUAUCACAUUUACCCAAAGAAUUUGUCUCAGAGCAAGGCAGUGGAAGACAGGAAAACUUGGCGCCCAAAAGCUUGCUAAGAAGAAGUUUUCCAAUGAUUUGCAUUGGUCUAAUCAAAGAUAUUGCAUUUACCCAAAGGACCUCGUCUGUAUAUGCUCUCUUGAAACUGCACUCAAUCUUGAGGGAGCAAUGCAGCUGGCUUCACUACCACCUUGGACAACACGGAGGGGCCAUCCAUAAUCUGCCCUCUCCCAGUGGCUAGCAAUGGAGUAACCAAGAGCAGCAGCUGGCUGUAGAUGGCUCAAUAAAGAGCCAUCUCGUACCAUCAGGUGUCGGUUUAGCCGCGUUGGUCGAAGGACCCAAAGAACCUUGUCCAUCUUGUGCCAUCUGCGCUUUUCCCAGAGCCUGACGAAGGGACUUGGAUCCCGAAAGCUUGCAAGAAAAGGACACUUUUCUUGCCAUUUUCCAGUUGGUUUAACAGAAGGUAUCAUUUUGGAGCCAAGAGGUCUAGUUUUUUUGCAUGCCAAUAAAGGACGCUGUUGGGGAAGGCAGCAAGGGACCUGGAGAGCGAAGCCACAGCGUCCUCCUGAUCAUGUGCCACUAUAUAAAUGCUAACAAGAACAGCUUUUCAGAAACCAACAAGCCUCUCCAGUACUUUCUCACCCCUCCCCUGGCUUCACAGCUCUGCUCCCAGACUGGGCUGCGCUGGGAAAUACAAGGGAGGUACGUUUAAGAAAGAAAAAGCAGGAAGAAAGAAAAAUCGGGAAGACAGAAAUGCUUACAUGAUUUGAGAUAAAACGGCCAACAUUCAGCACAGAUUGCAGUCCCUUUGAAGCCAGCGAGACCACUCUUGUGAAUAUUCAUGUGGCAAGCCUGUCUGCAGUGGGAUGGUCCUAGAGAGCAGUGGAAGCACUGUUUUGGGAUUUACUUGGUCUGCCUUGCUAAGAUUGCUCCAAAACUAUAGCUGAGGGGAAACAAAAACGUUAGCUAUUUAAACGGAGGUGUUUUUGCUUGUUGUUAGAUUUCAGUGAAAACAUGGAAUAUUUUUUAUUUCUAUUAAAACCUCCCUGGGAACAUUG
Alligator mississippiensis (American alligator) is the source of this 1653-nucleotide long non-coding RNA. RefSeq lists it as uncharacterized. NCBI's taxonomy places the organism in Eukaryota, Metazoa, Chordata, Crocodylia, Alligatoridae. The transcript is spliced from 2 exons. The record is from RefSeq and is a predicted model, not a curated record.